GAUGAACGCUAGCGGCAGGCUUAAUACAUGCAAGUCGAGGGGCAGCGCAGUGUAGCAAUACAUGGGCGGCGACCGGCAAACGGGUGCGGAACACGUACGCAACCUUCCUUUAAGUGGGGGAUAGCCCAGGGAAACUUGGAUUAAUACCCCGUAAUAUUAUGAAGUGGCAUCACUUUAUACUUAUAGCUCCGGCGCUUAAAGAUGGGCGUGCGACUGCUUAGGUAGUUGGCGGGGUAACGGCCCACCAAGCCUGCGAUCAGUAACUGGUGUGAGCGCCCGAGCGGUCUCGGGGGGACUGAGACACGGGCCCGACUCUUGCGGGAGGAAGCAAUAAGGAAAAUUGGUCAAUGGACGCAAGUCUGAACCAGCCAUGCCGGGUGGAGGAUGAAGGUCCCCUGGAUUGUAAACUUCUUUUAGUUAGGAAGAAACCCACUGUUUCUAAGGUGGUUGACGGUACCAGAUGAAUAAGCACCGGCUAACUCCGUGCCAGCCGCCACCGUAA
This 502-nucleotide ribosomal RNA is filed under the name uncultured bacterium. RNAcentral's name for it is "partial 16S ribosomal RNA". It matches the Rfam family "Bacterial small subunit ribosomal RNA", at positions 28 to 523 of the family's 1533-position model. The record is from RNAcentral.